AUUGAACGCUGGCGGCAUGCUUUACACAUGCAAGUCGAACGGUAACAGGCCUUCGGGUGCUGACGAGUGGCGAACGGGUGAGUAAUGCAUCGGAACGUACCCAGAGGUGGGGGAUAACGCAGCGAAAGCUGUGCUAAUACCGCAUGUGAUCUGAGGAUGAAAGCGGGGGACCGGGCAGCAAUGUUUGGCCUCGCGCCUUUGGAGCGGCCGAUGUCGGAUUAGCUAGUUGGUGGGGUAAAGGCCUACCAAGGCGACGAUCCGUAGCUGGUCUGAGAGAACGACCAGCCACACUGGGACUGAGACACGGCCCAGACUCCUACGGGAGGCAGCAAUGGGGAAUUGUGGACAAUGGGCGCAAGCCUGAUCCAGCAAUGCCGCGUGCGGGAAGAAGGCCUUCGGGUUGUAAACCGCUUUUGGCAGGAACGAAACGGUGUCCGCUAAUACCGGGCGCUAAUGACGGUACCUGCAGAAUAAGCACCGGCUAACUACGUG
Molecule: ribosomal RNA, 492 nt
Filed under: uncultured bacterium
Lineage: Bacteria
Description: partial 16S ribosomal RNA
Rfam family: Bacterial small subunit ribosomal RNA
Source: RNAcentral